GUGCAUCAGGAAGGAUUUAUCGAAUUAGGAUAAUUCUAAUUUUUCCAGAUUAAAAUAAAUUAAUAUCAGAAUUUUUAUCUAUAUUUUUUUGCAUAUGGGAGAAAAAUUCCGCGCUUUCAGUAAAUUGAUGUCCAUGCGUUCUGGGCCGCACAUAAACGCUUGCCGGGCCGCAUGCGGCCUGGGGGGCCACAGGUUGAGAAUGGCAGCUUUAAAGCCAUAUUUCUCAAAGUUUUUGGCACUACGGAACCCUAUCAACUUAUUUUCAUUUUCAUGGAACCCUUUUGAAAAUAUAAGUUAUAUAGGUAUAAUUGUAUUAUUA
This 319-nucleotide long non-coding RNA is filed under the name Androctonus crassicauda. Lineage: Eukaryota; Metazoa; Arthropoda; Arachnida; Scorpiones; Buthidae. The record is from RNAcentral.